CAUACCGUAACGGCAGACAGCACGCAAUGAUGAAGGAUGGCACCUGCUACCAAAGUGGCGCCAUCUAGCCGAAAUGCUGCGAAUCGAGCGGGGAGCGCUGAUUGUCAUGCGGAAUAACUAUAAUUUACUUUUCUUCAUAUUACAGUUGUCAAUGUUAUUCUGGUGGUGAUCAAAACGAGUUCCAGGUAGCGUCAAGGAGGUGAUGUUCAAAGUGAUUUGCUACACGUUCCUUGAUGUGAGAACUGCAGGGACCGAGGGCAUCGAAGAACAUAGCCAGCAAACCUUAUCCAUCAUACUCGUUUGCUUCCUAUGCUAAUUAUUUGUCGUGGAGAUGCGCGAAGUUCAUAGACGUGCAUUUGUGAUGUGUAUGUGAUUGAGUGUGCAUCAGGAAUCUCCUGUGUGAUUAGCUAUUGCAGACCUUUUGCAUUGCAUAUAUUUUAUCUAUUUUGUGUGUGUUCUGUUGUCAAAUUGAUACAGGGGUUCCCCCCUAAUAAUCUUGUAACCCCCCCCCCCCCAAAAAAAAAAUCGAUACAAAUGCAUGUAUUUGUAUGAAUAUACAUAGCAGCAGCCAUUUGAUAGGUUUCACACAUCCCUACAGAAUUCUAACUCCACCCAAGAUACAAAUCGUGGGCAGAUCCCUGCUAUUGAUAUAUCUCGUGAUGUAGUUUGUCAUAUAUUAGGUCACAUGUGAGUCCUGAGUAUUCCUGCAUAAUAUUUAUGUGCUCGUAUAUAGAUUUAUGUUUACCUGUUCUGACAUGUUUAUAUGACCAUACUUACUUAUAAGCUUUAGUUUUGGGUACGGUGUUAUUGCAUUACAUGCGAGAAUCUUUACUGACAAUUUCACAACAAGACAAUUUAUACGAACAAAGGUGCUACGGGUAC
Long non-coding RNA from Ornithodoros turicata, 882 nucleotides. RefSeq lists it as uncharacterized. Lineage: Eukaryota; Metazoa; Arthropoda; Arachnida; Ixodida; Argasidae. The record is from RefSeq and is a predicted model, not a curated record. The transcript is spliced from 2 exons.